Molecule: long non-coding RNA, 2893 nt
Organism: Triticum dicoccoides
Lineage: Eukaryota; Viridiplantae; Streptophyta; Magnoliopsida; Poales; Poaceae
Exons: 7
Source: RefSeq, a predicted model, not a curated record
ACAAGGAUUGAGUACCCACGAAGGCAACCUUGGGUUCCUUUCCCCAGUCCCCUCAGAUACGCGCCCCCUCUCUCUUCCACUUCUCUUGCCUUCCCCACGAAGGCUCCUCGAUUCUGCCGAGAUGUGGCUCGAGAUCCAGCCGGGAAAGAGAGAGCGAGCUGCCGCGGGCGUCCACGCUGCCGCACAAAGGGAACACAGACCUUCUUGGUUGUGGCACCCGACUUCUGGGCGAAUAGUUCACCCGCGGCUACUGUGGCGGCGGGGCCAACGACGGGGAGGACGACCAGCUUCCCCCUAUCCGUGGAGGAUGUCCUCCGGGGCUCCUCAACGCUCCUUGCAGCAGGCCAGGGGAGCAUCGUCAGUUGGAUCUAGGAGGAGCACUAGUGUGGGAUCCACCGUGGCCAGCCCGCGCUCAAGGGCCUCAACUUCCUCAACAAGACGACCGCCAGCAAGGACAACUAGAAGUCCGUUGAGAAGCUCUUCGACGAGAUGAGCGCCGACGGCCGCCUCCACCAGAACUCCGCCAAGUGCAUCGUUAGGGAGGAGGAAAAAAUGUCGUCUGGGAGGCGCGCAUGCAAGGAGGGAGGUCACUCUUAGUUCAUCUUCCUGUUUGCUCGGUCUCCUGAUGGCUCCUAUGGAGGUUGGUGUUAAGUGAGCAUGCAGUUUGUCAUUGUUCGUGAAUCGUCUGUUUAGUAUUCCUCUUUGCUUUGUCCGUGCUAAGCUUUAUAAUAAGUGCACUAUGGUAUAGUGACGACUUCCUAUGAGAACUUGAGGUAUCUGUGCGAUCGACGGGCUAACCCAUAUGAUAGGAUUGAUUGGAGCUGACAUAGAGGUUAAUUAAAUUAAUCUUUAGUUCUUCUCUUGUCAUAUUUUCAUCAGUCAACCUUAAGGCUUGGGUGGCGACAUGCAGAGGAACCCUGGGUACAUGUGAAGGGAGGCGCUGGGUGGCGAGUCCAGCAGCUAUUGUUGGGGUGGCUAUGUGAAGAAGAGAGGUUGGAAAGGAAGUGUUGGACUAACUGAUGCUAUGGGGAUGAAUCGGGGAGAUUAGAGGAGAGACAUUGUGAGAACUUUAGGCGAUGAUCGGUUGAAGAGGAUUUUUUUUCUAGCUAUGUGAGCCCAAGAUGUGUGAUGCUCAAGAAGGUAUGCGAUGCUAACACAUAUACAGAUAAGGAAGUGUGUUGUUAAUUUAGUGAACAGUGCCCUUCUUAAAAUAAACAUGUGGUGUCGCAGACAACUGAAGAGUUAUCACUUAUACUUCAGUCAGGUUUGUUACCUCCCUUGUUUGGAUCUUUAAAUGUUUCACCGAGGAUAUUUUAAUCCAUCAAGAACGUAUAGCUAGAUUUGCUGUCAUGUUAGUUAUAUGUUUCUCUGUUGUAAUUCUUCUAUAGGCUGUUUUCUGUGUCUCUGCGGGUGCCUUUUUGCUCAGAUGCUUUUUCUAUAGUGUACCAAGUGGAGUUUAAUUCUUCACCUCUCCACAUAUCCUCAUUUUCUUGAUUGUCCAGAUUGCUUGCCGACAGAUUAGAAGCAUGCCUGCCUUUUUGUUCCAUUUAGUUCCAUUUAAUCUUCCUGUUUUAUUUGAAUGAAUGUAUGGUUAGAGUACUGAAAUAUUAUUUUCUAUGCUUGGUAGAUCAAUAAGCCGCCACACGAUGUUACCGUGUGUUUACUGCUCCAUAGUUGAGUCAGUUUUGUGUGUAUUCUCUGAAAAAUUUCAACGCUGCCUUCAGAAAUAUUUUUAUGGGCUUACAUGUUAUAAUUUAGUAAGGGUUUAAGUACUCUAUUCAGAUCAGAUCAGUUCCUAUAUGGUCGGUUACACAAAGGAAACCCUAACUGAAAUUCAUUGAAAGCUUGGAGUAUCUAAAUUUCCUUGGAAUGGCAUUACUAUACUAAAAUGCUUGCCUUACAGCAAAAUAUGCAUAGACAGAUGUGGUAUAUUAGAUAUGUUGUAUUAGGCUACAACAUUACAUGAAAAUCCAAUUUUUCUGAUGUAGCGUGUGCUCCAAUACAUGCAACAAAUACAAAUGUUAGCAAAUGUAUUAGCAGGAUUGCCUCAGACAAUAAUAAAUCUAUGAAAAAGAUUAAUGCACUUCUCUCUUGAUGGAAUAACCGUGCGUCGAGGUAUAUGUAAUCAUCACCUUCAUGAUUUGAAGGUCCUUGCUGCUGUGGAACAGGGGGGCAGUUGAAGAUCAUCAGCAACUCGUCACAUGGCAACUCCAAGAUGCUUGCGCCCACUAGCUAUUGGUUUGGUGGGUCAUAUAUGGUUCUAUGAUGACAGUUUGAUCAAAAUCAUGUGGUCUUUAGGUUUAAGAAAAAUGGAUGUAAAACGACAAGGAAGGUCCUGAUCAGAUGUGGCGGCUCCUGCAGUUGGUGGUGCUCUGGGUGCGCAAGGGGAGCGCGACACAACCUCCGCCUGCUUAAGAUGUGCCACAGCCACGCCGGCCUCGGCAGCAGGCACAACGACUGGUUGCACUAUGGCGAACUAGAAUUCCCCUGCACGCACGUGCUCCAGUUUAUCCUCUGCAUCCCAUGCUUUGUCCGAGACACUCUCCCUGGCGUCUAUGGCAACAAUCAAUACUUCUGAGAUGCCGCGAGAGGGAUGUGGACUGCAUCGAGGACUACCACAAUGGCGAGCAAAACGAGUACGACCUGGAGAACCUUGACAAUGGGCGGAUGAGCAGCUGCUUUAUAGUGGCAAGUCCUCGUGGCUGAAAUACAAUGGCAUGGAGAGGUGCUAGAUACAGUCCUAAGAUUGCUUGUUUAUUUUCCGAGUUUGAUUCACUUUUGGACAAGCCACCGUAUGUGUAAUGCAAGUAGAUAGCUCAUUGCUACUCCCCUUUGUUUGUACUGUCACCUCUAAGGCUUUGGCUGUCAUUCAUUCAAAUAAUCCUAAGCUAUA